Unclassified non-coding RNA from Papio anubis (olive baboon), 148 nucleotides. It matches the Rfam family "Metazoan signal recognition particle RNA". From Rfam's summary of the family: The signal recognition particle (SRP) is a universally conserved ribonucleoprotein. It is involved in the co-translational targeting of proteins to membranes. NCBI's taxonomy places the organism in Eukaryota, Metazoa, Chordata, Mammalia, Primates, Cercopithecidae. The record is from Ensembl.
GCUGGGUGUGGUGGCGCACACCUGUAAUCCCAGCUACUCAGGAGGCUGAGGCAAGAGUAUCACUUCAGCUCAGGGGGCAGAGGUUGCAGUGAGCUGAGAUCACACCACUGCACUCCAGCCUGGGCAACAGAGUGAGACUCUGUCUCAA